GACGAACGCUGGCGGCGUGCUUAACACAUGCAAGUCGAACGGAAAGGCCCCUCUGGGGGUACUCGCGUGGCGAACGGGUGAGUAACUCGUGAGUAACUUGCCUUCGCCUUAGGGUUAAAUAACGGCAACUGGGGCUAAUUACGGCCAGGAAUGAUUGCCGCCUGGAGGGGGGUGGAUAGAUUCGGUUGGUUUGGAUGGACUCGCGGCCUAUCUGUUUGCUGGUGGGGUGGUGGGUUACCAAGGCGUUGUCGGGUAGGUGGCCUGGGAGGGAGAGCGGCCACAUUGGGACUUGGAUACGGGCCAGACUCCCACGGGAGGCAGCAGGGGGGAAUAUUGCACAAAGGGCGGAAGCCCGAUGCAGCAACGCCGCGGGCGGGAUUACGGCCUUCGGGGUGGAAACCGCUUUCAGCAGGGGCGAAGCUGGGGGUGACGGUACCGGCAGAAGAAGCACCGGCUAACUACGUG
Molecule: ribosomal RNA, 465 nt
Filed under: uncultured bacterium
Lineage: Bacteria
Description: partial 16S ribosomal RNA
Rfam family: Bacterial small subunit ribosomal RNA
Source: RNAcentral